CGGGGCGUAGCGCAGCCCGGUUAGCGCGCCUGCUUCGGGAGCAGGAGGUCGGAGGUUCAAAUCCUCUCGCCCCGACCA
This 78-nucleotide transfer RNA is filed under the name bacterium. RNAcentral describes it as "tRNA-Pro". It matches the Rfam family "tRNA". From Rfam's summary of the family: Transfer RNA (tRNA) molecules are approximately 80 nucleotides in length. Their secondary structure includes four short double-helical elements and three loops (D, anti-codon, and T loops). RNAcentral also lists the same sequence under 5 other names. The record is from RNAcentral.